Gallus gallus (chicken) is the source of this 3016-nucleotide long non-coding RNA. The record is from Ensembl. NCBI's taxonomy places the organism in Eukaryota, Metazoa, Chordata, Aves, Galliformes, Phasianidae.
AACCUGGCUUCCAGUGAUGGGAUAUACACAGCUUCUCCAGGCAGUCUGUGCCAGUGCCUCACCACCAUCUGAGUAAAGAUUUUCUUCCUAACACCUAUCCUAAAUCUCCUCUCUUUCAGUUUAAAACCAUUCCCCUUUGCCCUGUCCCCCUCCUGCUUGUGAGCUCCCUUCUGGAAGGCCACAGUGAGCCUUUUCUUAAGUGAUACGUUUGGGAAACAGCACACAGAAAGUAUCCACGCAAGAAAGGCAUUCUGCAAGAAAGAGCUGCUCAUUUCCAUACGCAUGCUGCAAACUUAAACACAAUGGUCCCAUUUUAUCAUUUGUUAUUUCAACUUUGCUGAUGAUUCAGUGGUGUUAUUCCGGUGAAAAUCUGGAGAAGAGCAGUGAAUCAGCUCCCUGGCUCUGCUUCGUGCUAUCUAAAAUGAGGAUCCACCUACAGUUGGUUCCUUUCCCAAAGUUGGCCUUAAAGGACAUCCCACAUAAAUCUACUCUCAGCCAGUGCCUGCAGAUGUAGCCCUCUCCCACGCGCUUACCUCUCCUGCACCCCGUUAAUGGAUUGAUUACUGGACAGAGCCCCGCCGUGUGAUGGUGCUGGGCAUGCUCAGCAAGAAGCAGCAAUUCUUGCUUUGAGCAUCAGCCAUCACAGGAGGACCUGAGGACCUGAGCAAUGAACCGAGUGUGCAGAUGUAUUUGCAGGGUGAUGGAUGAUUGAGGUGAGAUGUCUUUGACACACUGAUGGACUGGGAGGAGGGGCUUUGCUGGAUGCCUGAUGACUGCCCAUGGGAUACAGCUGGAAAAGGUCUUUUGUUUCCUCGACGUGCAUUUGCAACCAUUUGCUGCUUAUGUACCACUUCCAGAAGCAGUGGAAGGUAAGGGGGAAUGUCAACCCUGCCUCCCAGAUGGACCCAUCAAUACAGAGAGAACAACAAGGAUUAUCAGCAGCACCCUCAGCAUUUGAGUGUCCACGAUCAAGUCUUUUGUUCUGAACAAUCCAGAAAUAGGCCUCAAUUUACCAUUCCCUUCAACUAAAGGAUAUCUGAAAGCAAAAUGCUCCAGCCCUCCAGUCAUUUCUGUGUCUCUCCUUUGGGCCUGCUCUAACAGCUGUGUGUCUCCUGAGGCACAUCACUCAUCACAGAUCUCCUCCUGAACACUGAGCCAUUGACUGCAACUCCCUGUAUGCAGACAUCCAGUCCAUUUCUUUUCCACAAAACAGUCCAUUCAAAACCACGUCUCCAGUGCAGAGACAAGGACAUGAUGUGGGCCAUGCCUAAAGCCUUACAGAAGUUCAGGAAAAUGACAUGAAUUACUGCUCCCCAUUUUGGAGAGAGAACUCUGCAUGCUUCCAACUCCAGCCAUUCUAUGAUUCUAGCCCAAUUUUCCUGCUUCCAAAGACUGCAGAGGAGUUUUAUUCCUCCCUCAUGGCACCCACAAAAGCAUUGGACUGACAGUUUAGGAUAAGCCUAAGCCAAGCUGAAGCCACCAUCCUCUCAGCUCUCAAGGUCCUAUGGCUCCGAGGUCACACCUUAAUAAAUAGCAGUGCUACUUGGAGAGCUUCUGUUGCUGAAAACAGGACCAGUACGAGGGGACAGGUUACACACUUGGAAGCAUGCAGAGUCCUUCAGGAUUUAUUUGUUCACUCCAGAGAGAACGUGAGUCAUGAGAAACCUUAAGGUGGAGCGCUCGAAACAAGGAGUGUAUAAAUGAUUAGCAAGGGAAGGUCAGCACCAGUCCUUCAAGUCUGAGCAUGUCCCACUGUCAAUGGUGCAUAAAUAAUACCAGCUGGAUGCUUGUGGCUGUAGGAGAAUGGCUAUCACACUUCUAGUCCCUUACACGACUCUGGCUCUCGCUCAGAGAUAUCUGACAAGGCCACUGGCAUCUUUUUCUUUUUUCCUAAGACAAACUUAUAUUACAGAAACACUCUGGGUAACACACAAACACCUGAGUACGCUAUCUCUAGAUCCACUGAUACAAUGCGGUACUGCGUGACACAGCACCUAACUACUGCGUGCAGCUGAAAGCGGAGGGGCUGGUACUUUCAUCACUAACACCUGUAGAUUACGAUGGGGAAUCCUGGCCAGUUUUGUACUUUGUUAUCCAGCUGUGACAAAAUCUCUUAUGGAGAUAAUGAGCACCUUUUCCACUGAGCUUUUCUUCAGAUCGUCUCUACAAAGUUGCUAAUCAAGGGUUGAAGUUGGACAGGUGAGCUGCAACACAGGGACUGGCCAAGCCCUGUGUGGUGCAGAGCAACAGAAACUUCUGUGGAGCAUGAAGGUAUAAAACCAUAUCCCUUUAUCUGGUCUUAUGCUAAAACACACAGGUCAUUUCACAGACAUCUGCAUCAGGCGCACAGCAUCAGGUGAAAAAGUAGUAUUUUUCACCUUAUUUCUAUUCAGAAAUUCAAGAGCACAACCCUACCAUAACCCAGCAGUUAGAAGCAAUGCCAAGGAAAGCUAUUUACAUACAACAGACAACAUGGUCACCAGCCUGUCCUUCCUCAUGGAACUUCUCUUGUGCGUUUUGCUUUCACCCAUAUUCGAAGACCCCUUGAGCCCUACAUGCAAGUAGGCACUUGGCUGAAAGAAAAGGAUGUGACAGAGAGAAAAAGAGACCACAGAGAUGCUAACUGAACCCAGCAGCCUGUGGGGAACGAGGUGGACCCCACAUUGGGAUGAAGACCACCAGGGUAGAGCUCAGCAUGGGCAUGUUUGUGGUUCAGUGGCUCCUGUCCCAGCUGAACAGGACAACUGCAGUGACAAAGUGGCAAUGGCAUGAAGCCAGUACAAAACCUGAAUGCUGACCGGUGCCUCCCCUGCCCUGCUUUGCUCCCAGGCAGAGGAUGGCAGGACAGAGAACGCUCCUGCUCUCCAACUCCUGAAGCAGAGGGCAGGAAGGACGUAGUUCCCAUGUGUUCAGGUAAAGGAGCAUAUUUGGGCUGAGUUUCAUACAUGCAUGCUUCCCAGCCUGAGUGCCAUCUCCCUUACCAACAGUACCUUUGCACCACUGCUUUCUGUCUGGG